UCGCUCUUCAACGAGGAAUCCCUAGUAAGCACAAGUCAUCAGCUUGUGCUGAUUACGUCCCUGCCCUUUGUACACACCGCCCGUCGCUACUACCGAUUGAAUGGCUUAGUGAGACCCUCGGAUCGACUCGCGGAAGCCUUAACCGGCAUCCGUUUGUUGAGAAGUUGGUCAAACUUGGUCAUUUAGAGGAAGUAAAAGUCGUAACAAGGUUUCCGUAGGUGAACCUGCGGAUGGAUCAUUAAAAAAUAUGGGGUAUUUAUACCUCUUGUAUUUAAAACCAACUCUUAAUAAACAUUUUUUAAAUAAAAAUAAAAACUUUCAACAACGGAUCUCUUGGCUCUCGCAUCGAUGAAGAACGCAGCGAAAUGCGAAAAGUAAUGUGAAUUGCAGAAUUCCGUGAAUCAUUAAAUCUUUGAACGCAAAUUGCACUCCUUGGUAUUCCGAGGAGUACACUUGCUUGAGGGUCAGUUAAAUAAAAUAUCGUAACAUAUUUUGGUGUUGCGGAUCUGGGUUAUCCGGUUUUUUAAGUCGGUUACCUAAAAUUAAAGAUAAUAUAAUGUGAUACGUACUAAGAUAAAAAGUCGUUAAUCAUUAAAAACUUAAUAUAUAUAUUGCUUCUAAUUUUUUUUAGUUGGUAGUUUAUAUAAUUUCUGAAAAUGACCUCAAGUCAAGUGAGAGUACCCGCUGAACUUAAGCAUAUCAAUAAGCGGAGGAAAAGAAACUAACAAGGAUUCCCCUAGUAACGGCGAGCGAAGCGGGAAGAGCACAAAUUUUAAAUCUACCUGGUUUACCGGGUCGAGUUGUAAUUUGAAGAAAUGUUUUUAAUGUUCCGGGUUGGUUUAAAUCCUUUGGGAUAAGGUAUCAUGGAGGGUGAGAAUCCCGUGUAUAUCAACCGCUGGGAUGUUAUCAAUACAUUCUCUAAGAGUCGAGUUGUUUGGGAAUGCAGCUCUAAAUGGGUGGUAAAUUUCACCUAAUGCUAAAUAUAAGCGAGAGACCGAUAGCGAACAAGUACCGUGAGGGAAAGAUGAAAAGAACUUUGAAAAGAGAGUUAAAUAGUACGUGAAAUUGUUGAAAGGGAAACGAUUGAAGUCAGUCGUACCGACGAGAAAUCAGCUUAUCGUGUGUGAACUUGUGGGCGUGCGUGAGUUUCGGCCUCGCUGUUUGCAUGUUUGUGCGCUUUGGGUGUACUUUUUCGUAUGGUUGGCCAACGUCAGUUUCGAUUACUAUAAAAUGACCGGCGGAAUGUAGCUUCGAUUUCGGUUGAAGUGUUAUAGCCUCUGGUAGAUGUGGUGAUUGGGACUGAGGAUUGCAACGAAUAUCCUUUUGGGCUAUCCGUCUGGCCUCUGAAAGUUGCUCAGGUGCCGAAAGCUUGCUUACGGUCAUCUAAGUUGACGGUCAACAGGUUAGAACGUGAUUACAUUCGUUAAGGACGUUGGCGUAAUGGCUUUAAACGACCCGUCUUGAAACACGGACCAAGGAGUCUAACAUAUAUGCGAGUGUUA
RNAcentral lists this ribosomal RNA (1502 nucleotides) under uncultured Glomeromycotina. RNAcentral describes it as "eukaryotic LSU rRNA". The stretch from base 658 to 1502 matches the Rfam family "Eukaryotic large subunit ribosomal RNA", at positions 1 to 695 of the family's 3401-position model. The record is from RNAcentral. Lineage: Eukaryota; Fungi; Glomeromycota.